GAUAAACGCUGACAGAAUGCUUAACACAUGCAAGUCGAUGAUGGGAGCUAGCUUGCUAGAAGAAGUCAUGGCGGACGGGUGAGUAACGUGUAAAGAACUUACCAUAUAGACUGGGAUAACAGAGGGAAACUUCUGAUAAUACUGGAUAAGUUAGUAGUAGCAUUACUAAGUAAUGAAAGGUAGCAAUACGCUAUAUGAGAGCUUUGCAUCCUAUUAGCUAGUUGGUGGGGUAAAAGCCUACCGAGGCGAUGAUAGGUAGCCGGCCUGAGAGGGUGGACGGCCACAAGGGGACUGAGAUACGGCCCUUACUCCUACGGGAGGCAGCAGUGGGGAAUAUUGGACAAUGGAGGCAACUCUGAUCCAGCAAUUCUGUGUGUGUGAAGAAGGUUUUAGGACUGUAAAACACUUUUAGUAGGGAAGAAAAAAAUGACGGUACCUACAGAAGAAGCAACGGCUAAAUACGUGCCAGCAGCCGCGGUAAUACGUAUGUUGCGAGCGUUAUCCGGAAUUAUUGGGCUUAAAGGGCAUCUAGGCGGUAAGACAAGUUGAAGGUGAAAACCUGUGGCUCAACCAUAGGCUUGCCUACAAAACUGUUGAACUAGAGUACUGGAAAGGUGGGUGGAACUACACGAGUAGAGGUGAAAUUCGUAGAUAUGUGUAGGAAUGCCGAUGAUGAAGAUAACUCACUGGACAGAAACUGACGCUGAAGUGCGAAAGCUAGGG
This 723-nucleotide ribosomal RNA is filed under the name uncultured Sneathia sp. RNAcentral describes it as "bacterial SSU rRNA". It matches the Rfam family "Bacterial small subunit ribosomal RNA", at positions 28 to 765 of the family's 1533-position model. The record is from RNAcentral. Lineage: Bacteria; Fusobacteriati; Fusobacteriota; Fusobacteriia; Fusobacteriales; Leptotrichiaceae.